AAACGCUUGAAGUCAGUCGCGUUGGCUGGGGAUCAACCUUGCUUUUUGUGGGGUGUAUUUCCUAGUUGACGGGUCAGCAUCAGUUUUGACCACUGGAAAAAGGCUGGGGGAAUGUGGCAGCUCCGGCUGUGUUAUAGCCCCUGGUCGUAUACAGUGGUUGGGACUGAGGAACUCAGCACGCCGCAAGGCCGGGACAUUGUCCACGUUCGUGCUUAGGAUGCUGGCAUAAUGGCUUUAAGCGA
This 242-nucleotide ribosomal RNA is filed under the name Crinipellis sp. RNAcentral describes it as "partial large subunit ribosomal RNA". The record is from RNAcentral. Lineage: Eukaryota; Fungi; Basidiomycota; Agaricomycetes; Agaricales; Marasmiaceae.